Molecule: long non-coding RNA, 4069 nt
Organism: Heterocephalus glaber (naked mole-rat)
Lineage: Eukaryota; Metazoa; Chordata; Mammalia; Rodentia; Bathyergidae
Source: Ensembl
CAGGAAACAUUUACUGUGGCUGUGAAAACAGACUCAGAAUUCCGAGUGCAGGCAGCUAGGCCUGCCUUCGCCGGCCCUUCCUGGCCCCGGAGCGCCCUGCCUCUUUCUCUGAACAGCUCCUCUCCGCCUUCGGUCUCUCUCGGCCUGGCCUCUGGGCUGGUGUGGAGUGGCGCACAGGCCGGGGCAGUCAGAGGGCGGGCGCGGCCCGGGGAGGAAACGCGUCUGAGUCACGGUGUGGCGGUGCAGCCUGGAGGGUGCUCCGCUUGUCGGUUUGACUCCUGUCCCAGGCAAAGGUAGACGGCUGCCUGACAGACAGGCCUGGUCACAGCAGGUUACAAUGAACUGUGUCAUCCGCGCACACCGGGCAAUUUCCUUUUUGAGUCACUUUUCAGCUACGAAUGAAUCAUACUCCACCUCCGUUCCAGCCUGGUAUGCUUACUGCCUCUGCAGCCCCAGUGGGAAGGGGCGAUGUCUUUCUGCAGGGGUCUGCAGGAGGUGCCCGGUCCCUCGUAACAGGAUUCCUCCGGAAAACGAGAGGCCUGUGCUUUCUCCUGCUUACAAAAAGGACAGUGGCCAAAAAUUAGAAGACUAUUUAUACAAUGCGUUUAAAGACAAGAAUGUGAGCAACAGACCCGGUACAAUGGAAGCUUUGUGCAGCUCGGACCGGCAGGCAGGCAGGAAGGAGCCGCGCGAUCUUCCAAGCCCUUAGGGUCACGCCUGGAGAGGGGCCACCCGCCGUUGCAGCUGCUGUCUUCACCCUGCGGACUCCAGUUUCUGAAACUUGAAGGUUUUUCAGUCUUUGGCAAUCUUCCGUUUAAACUGAGUGUCUUCAGCAAAGGGCUUUACUUCAGGAUCAGUGAUGUGGGUCACAGUGGGAAGGGCAGAAGGGAAUGUCAGCGGGCAUCAUGGAAAUGGAAAAGACCGGAGGAAAAGUAUUUCUGAUUCAUUGUCCUUGCAUCCCCACGCACUGCCGAGCUGAGACUGUCCCUCAGUCACCCAACUAUCCAUUGCAGGAGGAAUGAAGUCCACCUUCAUCACCCCUGUGGCCGGGUGCCCCAGUCCGUUCCUACUCUCCUUGGCCACCUUAUCUUUUAGCCUACUGUGCUUCAACUUACUCUGUGCUGAAUUCAGCCAGGCUGCCUCUCCUUACUUUGUUCCCUUUGCUGCCUUUGUUCUUGUAGCUGGUGACUUUUCUUUUCUUUUCUUUUCUUUUCUUUUUCUCUUCCCUUCUCUUCUCUUCUCUCUUCCUUUCCUCUCUCUCUCUCUCUCUUUCUGCAUUUUCUCAUUUCUUCUCUCUCUUUUCUAGUUGUUGAAAUCCUAAUCAUUUUUCAAAGACCACCCAGCUAUUUUACAAAACUCCCCCAACCCUUUCAGUCCAUACUGACCAUUCACUCUCCAUGGCACCUGUUUUUUUCCUGAGUAUAACCUCUUGCAGUGUUCCACUAUCCAUGCUAUUUGAAGGCAGGGGCCUUGAUGUGUUUGUCUUUAUAGAUUCUGUUGCCAGUGAACAAGUGGCUGGAACAUUAAUACGAACCCAAUAAAUGGGGGCUGAGUUGUUGCUCCAGUUCUGGUUUUCCUGGGGACUAAUGAUCUGCAGAGCAUGAACAGAGGGGAUCAAAAGUGGCAAGUGGCUGUAACACUGCCUCCCUCUAGGCUGGAGGACUUUCUGCUUUCCAAAAAUGUGAAGGCUUCCACCUUCAUCCAAAUGGUUCCUAGAGAACCAAAUGAUGGGGACCUCUUGCAUGGCUCACUCUUGCCACCCAGCAUUUACUUAGUUUCAGAAUGACAAAGUUGAAGGUAUGUGGAUUUAACCUGGUUCAUAUUUCAGCCAAAUACCAGAUCUCUGUAUCCUGUCCAUUCUCAGUGGUUUGCUCAGAGAAGGUUGGAGUCACAGCCACUUCCAGCAAGGGGCUCAUCCAUACCAGGUCACUUGACAGUUUUCUAAAAUGGGGCUUGCAGAGAAAAGGAAGAGACUUUUCCUAGCCAAACUCUUAUGAAAAUAUGAAAGGGGUCCAGCCACUUGGAAAGACACUCCAACACCAUCACUGAGCACACUUGUUCUUCAGGAGGAACAAGAAUACUGGAAUCUAUCUCUUAAGAUUGAACAAUGUCUGAAAAAGCAAAAUGAAGCAAAACAAAAUUAAUGAUAAAUUUCUGUACUGUUUUAAAAAACUGAAUUUUGUAUUUUUAAAUCUGCUUAUAAGGAGCUUUACUAAUUAAAUAGUUAUACUUAAUAGUUUAAUAGUUUUGAUCAAGAUGGGAGUUCAGUAUAUAUUGUUAAACAUCAAUAUUGGUUACAAAAAUGCAAAGAUAUUUACAAUGUAAAGAAUUAAUCCAUGAAGUUUUCAUGGCUGACUGUAAUAUUUUUCCCUCAGAGGACAGAUGAUGAAGGAAGAACUAGGAGGGAGAGGUCAGCCCUUCACAACUCUUGUCUAUUGGCCUUAGAAAAUAGAUGAUGUGUCCAUCAGAUACAGCCAAUUUAUCAGAAGACAAUAAUGAUUAUGGUGUCCUUUUCAAAAACACGAUAACAUCCUUUGGAGAUACAUCUGUGCAUUGAGUGUGCUAUGGAUGUCGUUUUCAGAAAAUUUUUUUAUAUCUUCUUGUCCUAGGCAUCCUAAGCACUAUUUUAAUUCCUUCAGAGGGUGAAGGGAACUUGUAUGAUGCACUUUUGGACUAUAGAAUUGUUAUUUUGUCUUUCCUUCGUCCAUACAUUCCAUCUGUGACUCUGUAGAAUCUUUUGUUGGAGCCAUUGCCUGGGGCUGAUUAAUUGCCACUUCACCCAGAGUGCCAUGAACUCUCAAGAUAAGGCUUGAGAUAAAAUGGAAAACAUCAAAGCUAAGCAUACAUUCACACUCUGCAAACCACAGAGCGCAUUCACAUGGCAUAGGCACACGUGGGUGUGCACACGACUAUCAGCCUCCUUGAUUGAUUGGGUAAAGUGGCAGGCAGAGGUGUAUGUAUCUGCGGAGUCACAAAUGGUGAGCUGAGCAGCACCUGCUGUCCUGUGAUGUGGCCAUUUGUCUUAAAAGGCCAGUGAGAGAGACAGAGACCUGAAUCCCUGAACCUUUGGAGAACUCUGAACAGCAGGGGCACCCUGGUGGAACAAAGGGCCUCCCGACAUAUGUGAGGGCUGCUUUUCGUCAACCAGGUAUCACAUUCCGGCCACAGCAUGACAGACAAAUGCCAGGCCAGAUGAGGAGAUACAAUCUGCUGAACCUGAUGCUCCUAUACCUGGGUCUUGUGAGGGGAGCAGAUGCUGUGUCAGUAUGGAUGCAGGUGUGAAAAUAGGGGGAGAAAAGCCCCAAUACAAAAGUCCAGAGGCUCUAGGGGAGGCUCACUUUUCGAAGUUAUUGAUCCUAACUCUCGUGUAACAUAAAUCUUGUCUGUGCGGUGUUGUGUUGAAAUUUUCUGGCAGAAGAAGCCUGAGGGAAGAUUUGACGUUAGAAACUGAAGGCCACUACGACAGUGUGCCUUUUCUCUCAUGACUCCUAUCAUCAUACUCGAUGGAGGGACCUUAUUUAUAGUUUGGGUAUACUUGGGUGGGUCAUAGGAGAGACUCACCCGGUGAGCUUGUUACUCCUUGACUAUCUCACUGUCUCAGAAACUUGACUUUCUUAGCAAGGAAGCCCAAGCCUACAUCACACAAGAGGUUGGGUGCUCUACUCAUGGCCUUGAAGAUGUCUGCUGUCCACCUACUGGAUAAUUUGUGAGAUCAGAAUUCAAAAGUUUCUUAAUUCUCUAGUUGUUUUUAUACACACAUUAUUUGUUGAGCAUCUUCUAUAUGUUAGUGUACUCUCUGCUUAGAUGAAAUGCCUAGCAUCUGCGUAAUAAAGAAAAUAUUAACGAAAGUUUGAUAAUAAAGACUCUGCUUACUUCUAAGGUAAAUACCAGCUCCUUCCUGGAACAUGGAAGCAUCUAAAGGGGAAGUUUGCAGCUUCAGAAAAUGUUCAAAUCUGCUUAUCAGUGGGAGGACUGAUGUUGCUUCUCCUACAUCUGGUUCCUUUCCCUUCCCCUAUCUUUCUUCUUAGUAAUAAUAUUGUAAUUCUGACUGCCUUCUCUUAGAGUUUGC